CGCCUAACGAGCUAGGUGGAAGCUUGAUGAGUGAACGGGUCAAACGAAUCAAGAAGGAAAGAAGAAAGCGUAUUCAGAUGCGAGGUACACUUUGGAUGCCGGAAGACGAUCAAGCUCAACGAAGGACCGAACACGAUAUAGAUACAUGCUUCCGCACUUUGACACAUUGCAAAUUUUAAACAACGAAUUCAACCACGUUAUGUAGAAUAACUUAUGAAUUGUAAAAGUUUUAUUAAAUUCGUAUUUUUAUAGUAUGUGUAGGCUUAACUACACAUCUAA
This is a long non-coding RNA of Helianthus annuus (common sunflower), 279 nucleotides long. RefSeq lists it as uncharacterized. Lineage: Eukaryota; Viridiplantae; Streptophyta; Magnoliopsida; Asterales; Asteraceae. The transcript has 2 exons. The record is from RefSeq and is a predicted model, not a curated record.